GUUUAUCAAGCGAUACAUUAAUUUUGAAAGCAAAAACAUGUGAAAUAAAGGAAUAUGAUGAACCAGUGUCAAAUAAAACAUGAGCAAUAUGGUCACAGAUAAUAUACAUACCCUGUACCACAUCCGGCUCGGCGUCGGCAUCCUGCUGGGUAAGGUUGUAAGCUCUGCCCUGGAUAGGAGGCCUUCCUUGAUUCUGGUUUCUCGGGCAUUCUCUUGCAUAAUGUUGGGCACUGCCACAUAUGCAACAGGUGUUGUUGAGGCGGUAGCAUGGUCGGUCCCCGUGAUCUCUGCCGCAGUGCUGACAGAUCUUCCCAUGUGUUGCCCCUGGAGCCUGAGGAGGGGCCUAGAUGGCUGGUCUGGGCCUCUUAUUUAAUUGGGCAGGCGCAAUAGGUGCUGGGCUGCGGAACGGAGCUGAGGGUCGGGAACUCCCCGCUGGCUGAGGACGGGUGUUGAAGCUCUUUUCCACAAUCUGUGCCUUU
Molecule: long non-coding RNA, 479 nt
Filed under: Carica papaya (papaya)
Lineage: Eukaryota; Viridiplantae; Streptophyta; Magnoliopsida; Brassicales; Caricaceae
Description: long non-coding RNA (CPAP_LNC015321)
Source: RNAcentral